GGGGACUGCCAGGGGCUGGGAGGAGGGAGAAAGGCAGAGAUAUUGGUCAAGGGGUGCAAAGUUUCAAUUAUACCCGAUGAAUAAGUGCUGGAGAUCUAACACUCAGCAUGGUGAUGAUAAUUAACAACACUGCAUCAUAUACUCAUUUGGUUAAAAGGGUAGAUCUUAUGUGAAAUGUUCUUAUCAUCAAAAAUAAAAAUCAUAAAGAUGGCAGGUGAAAACUCCUGGAGGUGAUGGCUAUGUUUAUGGCAUAGAUCGUGGUGAUGGUUUCCUGGGUGUCUACUCAUUGUCAAACUCAUCAAGUAGUAGACACUAAAUACAUACAGCUUUUUGUAAGUCAGUCGUACCUCAAUAGAGUGGUCUAAAAAAUAAGUUUCAGUUCAUAGUGGUUCUUUGCAUUGGGGUUCUAGAGGUGGAACACAGAAUGGCCCUCCACCGUGCCCCUACCAUCCAUGUGUGUUUUAACGUCCUUUACAAACGUGGUCUCCACCCCAACCAUCCCACUUUCAGUGGCAUCCCCUUUGCCUCAGCCUCCUCCAGUCACCAAGCUUAGAAGAUGGCCUGGGAGAGGAGAGGUCAGUUUUGGGGGGCCUGAGGCAUCUCACCGGCCUGUGGCAGAGCGUCACGCUGUUGGCUAUGGUCCACCACGAGCAGGCCCUGGCAUCUCUGUCGCUGAGCCCAAACCGGUGAGCCAGGGACUCCCCAUCCUUCCGGGGGAAAUUCCAGGACCUCUGGCGUCCCCCAACAGCCUGCGCUCCAGAGAGAGGCAGACAAGAUCAAGAGAACAGGUUUUGCAGAGUUAGACAAAGACCUCUGCGGUUCAUAACGUCAGCGAGAAAAUUCCAAAACCCCGGGGCGAGCUGCGUUGUGGAUGCUCCUUUCGGCGACCUGCUUCUGAUUGGAGCUGACCGGGCCUCCCUGCCAAUCAGCAUGGGCGCUGCGAAGCCCGGAACUUUACAGCUUAGCAACGAGAAAUCUGGACGAACUCUGGAAGUAAUUUAAGGAAAGGGGAAGAAAAACACCAAGAAGGGAAUUAGUAGCCAAAUAAUCAGGCUGCAGACUUUUAUUAUUACCUUUGCGGCCAAGGCAAGUCAUGAACAUUUCCAGCAUUAAAUUACAAGCAGAGAGGAAACCAACCAGCUAUCUUGUCUCAAAUUCUGGGGCUCAUGUUUUGUUUCGUUUUUUCCCUGAGCUGGUACUAGAGCAGCAAUGUGAACAGAGCCAAGAAAUAGUGGACAGAACAGGUAUAAUAAAGAAAAAAACCUCUCAAUCCUGGCUGCCAUCUCUCCCUCCAGGAGCCUCUUGACCAGUCUUUUUCUGGAAUCAUCUUCUAUCACGUGACAUCAUGGAUACCAGCCUGUCUGAAAUGGGAACUGGGUGUCAGGGUGGCUAUAAAGGGUUUCUGUGAUUUCGGCUGGAGGCCGGGUCGGAGGUGACGGUGGCAUUGGUUGGUCCAUGGGAUGACUACUUAUGGAGCAUCAUUCAUGUGUCACUGCUGAGUCAGGGGCUGUAAAACAGAAAUGAGCAUCACAUAUUGGUCCUUGCCCCUGUGAGCUGACAGUUCAGCCAAAGAUAGGUACUGAGCGUCUACCGGGUGACAAGCACAGUUCUAGGUGCUGAGGAUACAGACAGCAGAGAAGAAAACAAAGAUGCCUGUCCACCUGGAGCUGACAUUUCAGUGAGAGAGAGACUCCGAAUCUCAGUGCAACAUUCAGCGUUCCGGCCUCGUUAAUUCACGUAAGACACCCCAUUUGGAGAAGUAUCAUUAAAGGCUAAUUUGGUGAGAUAUCCUUUUUUAGCAAAGCAAAUAGAAGCUGACAGUCAGCUCUCGGGUGCUAUCAUGGGGUGACGAUUCAGCAAAAGGCAAACAAUUUAUUUCACAACGUGACAAUCGCCCCUCGCCACGCUGGAAUUGUGGACUCCUGAAAAUUGUGCUGUUUCAUCGUGACCCAUAACAAAGAGAGAGAAUUCUGGAAGUCAAGAACUGUUUUUGCCAAGGAUUCGGGAGCACCAAUGUCAUCUGUGGGUACAUGUGCCAUGUCUUUUAAACACUGAAUCUUAUAUCAAGGGCUCUGUGUUCACAAGUUUCGCAGGUACAGCUGGCUU
Equus caballus (horse) is the source of this 2106-nucleotide long non-coding RNA. The record is from Ensembl. Lineage: Eukaryota; Metazoa; Chordata; Mammalia; Perissodactyla; Equidae.